Numida meleagris (helmeted guineafowl) is the source of this 1335-nucleotide long non-coding RNA. RefSeq lists it as uncharacterized. The record is from RefSeq and is a predicted model, not a curated record. The transcript is spliced from 3 exons. Lineage: Eukaryota; Metazoa; Chordata; Aves; Galliformes; Numididae.
CAAGUAGAGAACUGGCUGAGGACAGCAAUCCCUAAUCGGUCUUCCCAUCCUCCAGGUGGAAAACCCUAGCACCAGGCCCCAAGGGCCUCACAGGCCCUCCACUGCACCCACCCCCCCUGCAGGCCCAGUGUGGCCUCCCAGAGGAUGGCAGGCCCUCUCCUCCCCCACUCCUAUCCUUUGGCAUCAGGGCAGAAGAGAUGUCACCUUCUUGUGCACUGGGGGCAGAGGUGAGGGAUAGGAAAGGACAGCCGAUACAGCCCUUGAAACUCAAUGGUUUUUAAUGACUGCAUCUCAAUUGGCUGCCUGUGGGGUGUCAGUAUGCUUUGCUCCUCCUCUGCUGCUGUUGGCACCAAGACGGCUCCACCCCAGGCAGGCAGCUGCAGGGUGCUUGAGAACCCCCCGCUAGGACCCUCUUGCUACAUUCUUCCCGCUGCCUCACAGAAAUGGCCGCAGACCCAACUGCCAACUGCCAUGUUUGGGCCAGCAUGGCACUCAGAAUCCUGUUGCCAUGGCCACUGAGCUGCCCUUAACCGCAGUCCCUGAGCUGACCCAGCCAGAGGCAGCUGAACUCUGAGUCUCAGAAAGAGAUCCUCAUUAUUUCUGAGGACGGGAUGGAGCAGCCACCUGCUAAGAAGAGGCGGCUGCUGGAAAUGGGUGAUGACAUUGAGCCCAUGGAGGUGGACCCCCCUGGCAGUGAUGGAGAGCCCAUGGAGGUGGAUCCACCUCCAGAGGAUGAUCUGAUGGAAGUGGAUCCACCUCCAUCGGGCAGAGUGGCCAUCAGUCCAACACUGCCAGGCCAAUAAUGAAGAGGUUGCGCCCCAAAGUUCAUCUCAGGGGCACCAGGAUCCAUCUACCUCCCUUGAAACGGCUGCCUCAGUGCUGGCGCUGAUCCUCCAGUCCUCCAAGGCUCCUAUGAGCCCUUCCUUUCCAUCUCCCUCCCUUAUCCCUUUCCAAGACCCCUCAUCUCUUCUUCACCAAGUCCUGAGGAAGAGGGCAGGGCAGGGACUGCCAUCCUUGGAGCUGCUGUGCUGGGGCAGCGGGAGGAGUCCAGCGGAGGGACCUCGACUGCUGGAGGCCUUGAACACUUCAGGAGCGCAAGGAUCCCGUUCCUGUGAGCCCAUCCUUCCUGUCCCCCUCCCUCAUCGCUGCCCAGGGUGGGAGGAGAAGUCAAGGAAGGGACAGAGGCAGCUGCUGCUGUGGAGAACCAGACUUUGGUUUGGAUGGGAAGGAGUGCUGAACUUCAGCAAGAAGGUCCAUCCCAGAUGCUUCGUUUGGACUUUUCUUUCAAGACUGGACAAUCAGCAAUUUAAAACAACAAUACAAAAUAAUAAAAAA